CAGAGUUGCAAAAACCUCCCUAAACCAUUGUGAACCUACCCCCUAAACAGUUGCUUCGGCGGCGCCCCGGACAGGCCCGCCGGAGACCACUAGACUCCUGUUUUUUUAACACUGGCCUCUCUGAGUUUACUGUACUGUAAUAAGUCCA
Molecule: unclassified non-coding RNA, 148 nt
Filed under: soil metagenome
Description: partial internal transcribed spacer 1
Source: RNAcentral